Molecule: ribosomal RNA, 615 nt
Filed under: uncultured fungus
Lineage: Eukaryota; Fungi
Description: LSU rRNA
Rfam family: Eukaryotic large subunit ribosomal RNA
Source: RNAcentral
ACCCGCUGAACUUAAGCAUAUCAAUAAGCGGAGGAAAAGAAACCAACAGGGAUUGCCCUAGUAACGGCGAGUGAAGCGGCAACAGCUCAAAUUUGAAAUCUGGCUUCGGCCCGAGUUGUAAUUUGCAGAGGAAGCUUUAGGCGCGGCACCAACUGAGUCCCCUGGAACGGGGCGCCACAGAGGGUGAGAGCCCCGUAUAGUUGGACGCCUAGCCUGUGUAAAGCUCCUUCGACGAGUCGAGUAGUUUGGGAAUGCUGCUCAAAAUGAGAGGUAAAUUUCUUCUAAAGCUAAAUACCGGCCAGAGACCGAUAGCGCACAAGUAGAGUGAUCGAAAGAUGAAAAGCACUUUGAAAAGAGGGUUAAAUAGCACGUGAAAUUGUUGAAAGGGAAGCGCUUGUGACCAGACUUGCGCCCGGCUGAUCAUCCGGUGUUCUCACCGGUGCACUCUGCCGGGCUCAGGCCAGCAUCGGUUCUCGCGGGGGGAUAAAGGUCCUGGGAACGUAGCUCCUCCGGGAGUGUUAUAGCCCAGGGCGUCAUGCCCUCGCGGGGACCGAGGUUCGCGCAUCUGCAAGGAUGCUGGCGUAAUGGUCAUCAGCGACCCGUCUUGAAACACGG